AUUGAACGCUGGCGGCAGGCUUAACACAUGCAAGUCGAGCGGGAUGAUGGUGCUUGCACUAUCACUUAGCGGCGGACGGGUGAGUAAUGCUUAGGCAUCUUCCUAUUAGUGGGGGACAACAUCCCUAUAUGGAUGCUAUACCCCAUACGUCCUACGGGAGAAAGCAGGGGAUCACUUGUGACCUUGCGCUAAUAGAUGAGCCUAAGUCGGGUUAGCUAGUUGGUGGGGUAAAGGCCUACCAAGGCGACGAUCUGUAGCGGGUGUGAGAGGAUGGUCCGCCACACUGGGACUGAGAAACGGCCCAGAAUCCUACGGGAGGCAGCAGUGGGGAAUAUUAGGCAAUGGGGGGAACCCUGAUCCAGCCAUGCCGCGUGUGUGAAGAAGGCCUUAUGGUUGUAAAGCACUGUAAACGAGGAGGAGGCUCUUUUGGUUAAGACCGAAGCUGAGUGGACGUUACUAGCAGAAUAAGCACCGGCUAACUCUGUGCCAGCCGCCGCAGGAA
This 502-nucleotide ribosomal RNA is filed under the name uncultured bacterium. Its description in RNAcentral is "partial 16S ribosomal RNA". It matches the Rfam family "Bacterial small subunit ribosomal RNA", at positions 30 to 523 of the family's 1533-position model. The record is from RNAcentral.